RNAcentral lists this ribosomal RNA (626 nucleotides) under uncultured archaeon. RNAcentral describes it as "bacterial SSU rRNA". It matches the Rfam family "Archaeal small subunit ribosomal RNA", at positions 146 to 774 of the family's 1478-position model. The record is from RNAcentral.
AUAAUACUCCAUAGUCCAUGGAAUCUGGAAUGAUCCAUGGAUGAAAGUUCCGGCGCUUAAGGAUCGGUCUGCGGCCUAUCAGGUAGUAGUGGGUGUAACGGACCCACUAGCCGAUGACGGGUAUGGGCCUUGAGAGAGGGAGCCCAGAGUUGGAUUCUGAGACACGAAUCCAGGCCCUACGGGGCGCAGCAGUCGCGAAAACUUCACAAUGGGGGCAACCCCGAUGAGGGAAUUCCUAAUGCUAGCACAUUUGUGUUAGCUUUUCUUUAGCGUAGAUAACUAGAGGAAUAAGGGCUGGGAAAGACGGGUGCCAGCCGCCGCGGUAAUACCUGCAGCCCAAGUGGUGGUCGAGUUUAUUGAGUCUAAAACGUUCGUAGCCGGUUCGGUAAAUCUUUGGGUAAAUCGGAGGGCUUAACCUUCCGACUUCCGAGGAGACUGCCGAACUUGGGACCGGGAGAGGCUAGAGGUACUUCUGGGGUAGGGGUAAAAUCCUGUAAUCCUAGAAGGACCACCGGUGGCGAAGGCGUCUAGCUAGAACGGAUCCGACGGUGAGGGACGAAGCCCUGGGUCGCAAACGGGAUUAGAUACCCCGGUAGUCCAGGGUGUAAACGCUGCAGACUUGGUGU